GGUCGUCUGCGGCCCAGCCUCUGGCAGAACAGGCUGGAGACCGCAUGUUUCCACACGCUGCUGGAGUAGCUUCCAAAACCGAGGGAACCACCUAAGAAAGGGCCCCUGGAGAAGAGCCACAGCUAACAACUGUAAUCAAGCUGAGGAGGUUUGUAGGCUAGAAGAGAGAAACCAUUGGGUCACCCAAGUCUUGUCAAGGAUUUGAAGAAGGCUGUAUUCUCAUUGAUUCAUAUAUACAUGAGCAUGUGACAGAGUGACUGCCAGACAACUGGACUAUUAAAAGAAGCCUGAAGUCUUGGAAAUGAAGAAAUUCAUUUUCUAAAAGCUGGGACAUUUGAAGGCUGAACAUGUUCAACCAGGCAAGAAAGGAAGAUUUGUAUCUUCUAUUGUGUUUUUUUGGUUACCUGAAUCUGCCCCAUUCCAGAAAAGGAUAUUUACUACUGCAAAAGGUGAUGGAGAAUUUCUGUUUAAAGGUCAGAAAUGCUUGUGCUUUGGGGAGUGGAGGUCACAUGGUUCUGCAGGUUCGUGUCACUGGUGCUGUUGUGAAUGGGCAGACACAGCUCUCCAGGCCAGAUCAGCCGGAGGAGUUCCUGCGAUGGAGGAGGGCAGGGUCUCUGGCCUUGACCAUCUGAGGAGGGACUGGCCCCAGGCAGAUGAUUGGAAUUCUUUCUAUGGACAGUGCAAUUGGCUGAGGGUCAGUCUGAGGGGCAGAACCAUCUCUGGGAGAUGGAGGGAAAUCCAGGAUGGUCAGUAUUAUUGGAGUCCAAGAAAUGCUGAGUCAGAUUUGGAGAUGGGGAGAGGACUGGAUCACUCAGGGGAAGGAAAUGAGUAGUUAUGACACAUCCCUUUAAGUAAUAUUCCUAAAUCCUGGGUCACUUUGUUCUUUCACUCUAUGGCUGGCUGUUUUGAGGAGGUCAGUUAAGUAUUUGGGUUUCUUUUAAUAUAGUUAUGAAAACACAUUUCUUUUAAGAAGAGAGGCAAAAACCACUACAAUAUUGUAAAGUAAUUAGCCUCCAACUAAUAAAAUCAGUUCUUUUCUCUCUAGGAGGCAAUUAUUACUUCUUUGGAGCCAGAUGGUCUGGGCUUGAAUCUUGACCUUGGGUAAAUUACUAUACCUCAGUUUCCUCAAUAGUAAAAUGAAGAAAGUCAUAGUAGUUACCUGAUAGAGUUGUAGGAGCUGUAGAGUAGUGAAAUAAUCUGUAAAAUAUUUAGUCAGUGUGAACUACCCUUACCAUUGAUGUAAGGAAGCUAUGAGGAAAUCAGUGCAGGGUAGAACCAAUGACCCACCCAACAUCGCGUGUCUGCCCCAGUCAGCAGGCUGGCAUUGCUGUGUGCAUGUGUGUAUAGCAGAUGGCUCCCAAAUCCCCACCCCUGGGCUGGGAGGCACUGCUGUGAAAUGAAAUGAAGUAGAAAAGCAUCAGCGGGACAUGAGACCACAUGUUUCCUGAAUAAAGGACAGACUGGGUGUACUCUGUGUUUGUACAGGGGACGUGGAAAGUGACAUUAUCAAAUACUUCUCCAUGACCUGGGUUAUUUUUUGUGUGUUUGUUUUUGUUGAAGAAUUGGAUAGGUUAGGUAGGAUAGAGGGAGGGAAUACUUAGAAUGGUUUGGUGAAAACGGUCCAUUGUUUCACAUUUAGCUGUUUGUUUCUGAAGCAUCAUAAAUUAUCCUACUUGAAGAUUGCCCAGAUGAUUAAGUUACAUAACAUGGGGAGAUGCUUUUCAUAAAGUUUAAAUUACUGCAUAUACUAAAAGGUAUUUGUGUGAUUAUUUUUAUCAUCUUGAUGAGCUUGUAUCUUGUAAUGUGCUCUUAUAAUCUGAUUAUAAUUUACCUGAGUAAAUUAUAUAUAAUUUAUAAUAUGAUAUAUAUUUUAUAGCUUAUACAUUUUUUAUAAUUUAUAUAUAACAUUUAUAUAUAAUCUUAUAAUUUACCUGAGUAGUCUAAGAUGCAACAU
Molecule: long non-coding RNA, 1954 nt
Organism: Dama dama (fallow deer)
Lineage: Eukaryota; Metazoa; Chordata; Mammalia; Artiodactyla; Cervidae
Exons: 4
Source: RefSeq, a predicted model, not a curated record